CAAAAUAAAUAAAUAAGCUUUAAAAAAUGUUUCAAACAGUUUUUAUAAAGGGGAAGGGUGUGUGUGGCUCUAUUCCUAGACUUUGGAGGAGGGAACUCGGUACAGCAGCGUCAGCUGGGUGCCCUUCUCCCGAGGAAGGUGAGCCUGCCUCCCUGGGGCCAUCCCCUGGAGGGGAGGCCCCAGAGCGGCCCAUCCUUCCUGCCUUCCCGCCGGGGGGCGCUGUGGGGGCACUUGCCCGCUCAAGAGCGUCGAAAAUCCUCAGAGCUCCCUGUGAGGUCGCUAUUUCUAUUCCCCUCGUUUUCAGAUGAGUAAAUGGCAGUUUGCGGAAGUUAGGAGAGUUGCUCGAGACUGGUUAGUGACAAAACUGGAUUCACAAACUCCGUUCUCCCUUACUCCCAGCUUGGAUCCUGACCCUUUCCUCUCCUUACUCAGGCGGCAGCAGAGACGGCAGGAGGUGUGGUGGGUGUGACUGCGUCUGAUGAGGCCCCCCCCCCCCCCCCCCCCCCCCCCCCGUGGCACAGGCAGGGUGCCCCGGAAAUGCGGACAAUCAGCGCUCUGGGGGUCAGCUGGGGGUAGCUCUACAAGUGGUCCAGGAAGGUGGCCACCCUUCGGGAGACUAGUGGUGGCCUCUCUGGCAACGGACUUCGUUUGAGGCUCUUUUGGACAUCUGAACGAUUUUGCAGUGAAAUCUUUUAGAGUCCCCGGAGGGUACGCCUGGGUCUGCGUCCCCUCCGCACUGAGCUGAGUCCCCAGCCAGAGCUGGAGCCCUCGCUUCUUUAUUCCAGCCACUGCCCCAGCGAUGCAGCCAAAUCCAGCGUGGCCGACUCCCGGCCUUUCCCUGGGGAAAGGAAUGCUGUUUCUGCUGGGUGAAGGGGACACUGUUGCCACACCAGCAAGAGACCUUGCAACUAAGAACCAUUAACUGAGGGUCAGAGCAAGUAUAGACCACACUGCAUCCAGGCCACAGACACCACCAAUCCUAGGGGCUGCGAAUCUUCGUGGAGAGAGGACAUGUCUAUGGUGGUAGCAGCCAAAAUAGAACAAAUUGCAACGGGCAAGUUGUGUUGGAAAGAAAGAGGAGCGCCCUCUUACAGCCUCACAGUGCAGA
Long non-coding RNA from Panthera uncia (snow leopard), 1108 nucleotides. RefSeq lists it as uncharacterized. Lineage: Eukaryota; Metazoa; Chordata; Mammalia; Carnivora; Felidae. The record is from RefSeq and is a predicted model, not a curated record. The transcript has 3 exons.